Long non-coding RNA from Oryzias melastigma (Indian medaka), 350 nucleotides. RefSeq lists it as uncharacterized. Lineage: Eukaryota; Metazoa; Chordata; Actinopteri; Beloniformes; Adrianichthyidae. The record is from RefSeq and is a predicted model, not a curated record. The transcript has 2 exons.
UUUUUGACCCUUUUCUGGCCUGGUAACUAGUUUAAGCCUGUCCCCUGUCUGGAGUUUUUCUGCCCUGGUUUUUCCUCCUCCGUUUCCAUUUGAAGAGGCGUGACGUUUCCAGAUCCCUCAUCUCAACACGGAGUAAAGCUGCCCCAACACUGGUCUUCACCCUCCGGUGGAUUCUCAUCCUGUACACAGCAGCAGUGGGGGAAUCUUCCAUCAUUCCUGACACCAUCCGCCCUGUACUCGGACGCUUUAAAGGCUCUUCUCUCACGUCUGCUUCUGGAGUUCUAAGCUCACCUGUGCAUCUGGCGGCCCACUGAUUAAUUCUACCUCCCUAAUAAACACUUUAAUUGUGA